Molecule: long non-coding RNA, 3897 nt
Organism: Hyaena hyaena (striped hyena)
Lineage: Eukaryota; Metazoa; Chordata; Mammalia; Carnivora; Hyaenidae
Exons: 2
Source: RefSeq, a predicted model, not a curated record
AGUCACGGGAACGACAGUAGAGCACGGGGAACACAGCUGUGGUUUUGUAAUGGCGGCCUGUGCAGGCGGGCGCAGCCGCAGCGUGGCCAGGGCAGCACAGCACGGGGACCCGGGGAAUCGCUACGUUGUUCGCCAGAAGCCGGUACUAACACUGUGUGUCAGCCAUACUUCAAUUUUUAAAAGCCCAUUUAAAGAAGAAUAAGGUUUCUCUAUUGUUGGGGGGAACGUUCUAGAACUGUCACUAGGCCAGGUUGCCUGAGGGCGCUGUCAGACCCUCCACGUUCCUCCCUCUGCCCGCUUGGGCAGGGGCAUGGGAGACUCUGGCCGUACUGGAGGAUGUGUUUUUCUGAUCAGCUUUUGCUGCUUGUGUUUGGGAGCUCUGUUAUUAUGUGCUUAAUGUUUAUGAUUAUUUUAAUUUCUUGAUGAAUUGAAACAUCAAUGUGUAACGUCCCUCUUCACGUUAUUACGGCAUAUCUUUCUCCAUCCCUUUACCAUUGACCUAGCUAAGUUUUGAUAUUAAAGUGGAAUUCUUACAGAGAGCAUACACUUGGGUAUUUCUUCUUUAUCUAGUCUGACGAUCUCUGUCUUUAACUGUCGUGUUUACCACAUUCAUGUUUACAGUGAUUAUGGAUACGAUCAGAUCAAACUCUUACCUUAGUAGCCGGUUUAUACUUGUCAUGUUUGUUCUUUGUUUUCUUUAUCUGCUUCUUCUAUCUUCUUGGGUAUAAUUCGGAACUUUUGAUUAUUCUAUUUUAUCUCCUCUACUGACUUAUUCAUAUCUCUUUUUUUAAAAACACUGUUUAGUGGCAUUUACAUUAUAGACUUUAAAAUAAUCUUAGCCCACCAAAAAAUAAUAUUCUACUGCUUCGUGUAUACAGUAGGGACCUUAUGUGCCCAAACCCUCCCUCCUAUACCUGCCGCGGUGGUUAGCAUACACCCCACCUUUGCAUAAGUCGUAACCAUCCAGUGCAUUCUUACUGUUCUUGUUUUAAGCAGUUAUCUUGUAGAGCAAUUAAAAAUACAGACAAUAUAUUUUACCUUCAUUUUGUCUAUUUCCCAGAUUUUUUCUUUUUAGAUCCAAAUCUCUGACCUAUACCACAUUUCCUCGGUCUGAAGAAAUCCCUUAAACAUUUCUUACAGAGCAGGCCUGCCGGAAAUAAAGUCCCUCUGUUUCUAUCUGCUCGGGAAAGUCUUUAUUUCUCCUUUACCUUUGAAGGAUUUAUUUAUCGGAUAUAGAUUCUGGGUUGACUGUUAUUUUCCGUUAACACUUUAAAGAUAUCGCCCCAUUAUCUCACUUGUGUGGUUUCUGAUGAGAAGCCUGCUGUCAUUCUCAUCCUUGUGAUCUUGCGGGUGACGUGGUUCUUUUACUGUGACAGCCAUCAGGACAAUUUCCCCAUUGUCUCUGGCUUUCAGCCAUUUAAUUACGAUUUGCCCUAGUGUGUGUUUGUGUCUGGAUGGUUGUGUAUUUGGGUAUUGACCUUGAUCAGUAAUCUCUGAAUUUCUUAGAUCAGUGGUUGAAUGUUUAUCGCUCAUUUUGGAAAAUUCUCAGCCAUUAUUUCUCCAACUACUUCUUCUGCCUUCUCUUUUCCUCUUCCUUCCCCACACCCGGGAUUCUCAUUCCAUGCACGUUACGCUAUUUGGUAUUGCCACACGGCUCCUAGAUGUGCUGGUUCUCUUUCUUACUCUUUUUUUUUUCCUCUUUGUAUUUCAGUUUGAGCCCUUUGGAGCCAUUUUUAUUUCUGUUUCUGUGUUUUCAAUUUCUAGCCUUUUGAUUUUAUUCUUUCGGUUAGUUUGUGCACCUCUGCUGAAAGUACCUACGUGUGUCAAAGGCCCCCCGCCAUCUCCUCCCACGGGAGCCCCUCAGACCCAAGCGCCGUCUUGCCUGCAUCACCACAGAUUAAAGUUGUCCUUUUCUGGAAAUCAUAAGGGUGGCGCCAUCCAGGACGCGCUCCUUUGUGGUCAGCCGACUGGCUCGACGAUUAGGUCUGUGGAAUUGCCAUGGCUCUUCUCUGUCUUUUGAGCCUCCGUAAAAAAAUUUUUUUUUCAACCUCCAACACCUCCAUAUACAUUUUGGAGUCAGUUUAUCAACACAAGCAAAGUUAACUUUCCGGGAUUUUGAUACAAAUGACAUGAAUUCCACAUAUAAGUCUUGGAGGAACUGACAUCUUUCUAAAUGCGACUUUUUGAAUCCAUAAAUACAGUAUUUGGCUUUAUUUGCUUAGAUCUUUAAUUUCCUUGAAAAAUAUGUUGCAACUUUCAUUAGUUCUUACUUGGACUUUAUACCUAUGUAAUUGGGGGGUUUUUUAUAUUUUAAACUUUUAAAUUUUAUUUGAUCUAUUUUACAUUUCAAUUUUAAGAGAUUAUUGCUUGUCCUCAAAACACGAUUUUCACGUGGAUCUUGUAUCCACCUACCUUGCUAUACUAACUUUUUAGUUAUAACAGAUUUAUUUGAGCUUUAUACGUUAAAAAUUAUGUCAUUUAUGAAUUACAGCAAUUUUCCUUGCCCUUUUCCAGUUUUUAUCGUGGGAUUUCCUUCCCUUGCCUACUGAAUGGACUGGGUUCCAUGGCACACACGCUCUGAUUACAACUUUGCAAAAAAGAGGAAGCAAAGGUGCGUUUAGUUGAAAGCUCUUCUUUAUAUUGCAAACAUUCCUUAGGUCUGUAAGAAAAUGUCGCCACCCAGAGAAUCUGUAUCGGGCACCUUUCAAACAAAGGGACCAGAAAGUCGUGCCUCCGUGAGCUAAGGGAGCCACAUGCUGGACGGACAAGGCACCUGUUGGCAUUGGUGUUUCCUGCCCAGAAUUUACGGAUGUCUGUCUCUCUUCUCAGUGCCAGAAGGGGCAGACUGGGUAAGUUUGUCCCAAGCAGAGUCCCUGGGCCCCGGCGGGAGGAGGCUCAGCAAGAGGCCAGGUUCCCUGGGCAGGGAGAGAAGCCUGUGAGCGCUGGUUGCAGAGCCCUGACAUCCACGUCACAAGCCACACUCUUGGGGGACAGACCUCUCUCCCCCCGAGGCACCAGGCGGGAAGAGGCGAGUGUGACAGACGCAGGCAAGCACUUCCACAGGGGACGUGAAUACGCGCGUGUGGGGCUCAUCGAUGACCCAGUGAAACCACAGAGCAUGUUUUAGAAGGAAGAGCGGAGGCCGAAGGGCCUCCGUGAGCACCGAGGACAUCACAGGUGCAGUGAGGGAGACGCAGGAGGCCCGAGACCCGGGGACGGACACAGGGGGCCAUGGCGCGCUCCCAGCGCAGGCGGAGACGCAAAGCGGGGACAUCAGCCAGCACGAUGGUCCAGCUUUAGGAAAAGUGGUGAGGACCUCACUCAGCCAGAGGAAACUGCGGGAAGCCCUCCCCGGCCUGAAGGAAGACGUGCAGGUUUACUCGGAAAGAGCGACAUAUUCCAGGGAAAGUGAACACAGAAUGUCCCGGACUAAGACAUGUGAUUAAGUUCCGGAAUUCCAGAGAUGGGCCCCCAGAAAUAUUGCCCAAACAGCAAAUCCCCAGCAGCCUGGGGCGGGGAGGGUGCUGGUAUCUGACUGUUUCCAGAUGCCCUGCUGUAACGUCUAAGGCUCAGAGAUUUUGGAGCAAAUCUCUUCAAAAACCUGAUGAAAACGAAGCGGGCCCCAAGAAUGUAUGUCUCUCGAAAACACUGUCGAAGCCAGAGAGAACUGGCAAGCGGUCCCAAACUCUCUGAGCCCACGAUACCUCCGGCGCCUGGAUCAAAGGGUCCUGCGAGCCUCCCUCAGGACCGACUCUAGGGAGGAGGGCAGCACGGACCGGGGGCGCCGAGUCCCACAGAAGGAGGGCUCACGUGGAGCAAAAUGCACAAAUCACGGCUGUACCAGAGAACUUAAGUGUAAUCCUUGAGAAUAAAGUUACGAGCUACAGGGCCCUCCUC